RNAcentral lists this transfer RNA (73 nucleotides) under Lepidoblepharon ophthalmolepis. Its description in RNAcentral is "tRNA-Asn". The record is from RNAcentral. Lineage: Eukaryota; Metazoa; Chordata; Actinopteri; Pleuronectiformes; Citharidae.
UAGAUAGAUGCUCGCUGGCUCGAGCACUUAGCUGUUAACUAAGAACUUGUAGGAUCGAGGCCUGCCUAUCUAU